RNAcentral lists this long non-coding RNA (677 nucleotides) under Elaeis guineensis (African oil palm). RNAcentral's name for it is "long non-coding RNA (EGUI_LNC056638)". The record is from RNAcentral. Lineage: Eukaryota; Viridiplantae; Streptophyta; Magnoliopsida; Arecales; Arecaceae.
UAGGUGAUUCCUUGAUUAAAUUGAGGCAUAAUUUUAAUAUAAAAUUAUUUUAAUAUUUAUCUUUCGCUGCUUACUCUCAUGUGAUGAAAAAUUUGUAUACAAAUCACCUGAUUUUCCUUCAGAAAUAUGUUACCUUGAUAGCUGGUAACCAUCAUGGAGAAUCAUGGUCGACGAUGUCAUCAUGGAUGAUAGGUGAUUAGUGGCAUUAACUCGUAUGCCACAUUUCACUAUAACCAUCAGGAGUUCUGUGAUGGUUAUGGACUGGCCUAUCAUGAAUUGCCACAUAUCAGGCAUUGAUUGGCCCGAUGACGCUUCUCACAGAUUGGUCUAUGUGGCUGAAUCAGGAGGGGGUGAGACAAAGAGUCACUUGAUCAAAUAGCUGUGAUCUAAUGGCUGUGAUCUAUGCCAUGUGGCUGAAUCUGCUGGCCUGAGGCUCCGAUCUAGACCAUUGGGCCAUAGUAUAAAUAGGCAUGUCCUCCUUCCUUUGUUAUAAUUUUGGCUGUUAGCUUCUUCCAUUGCGCCAGCACUUGAUUUGUUGGAGGGAUUUUCUAUCACUGCCUGUGCCAUCAUUUUCUUCGGCUUCGACAAGUGUUUUUUUGUUCAAGCCCCUUUUCUUAUUGGUCCAUUUUGCUUUCUUCCAAUUUUCUCAUUGUUUUCUUCUUCAUUUGAUCUCUCUA